UACGUAGGUGGCAAGCGUUAUCCGGAUUUAUUGGGCGUAAAGGGAACGCAGGCGGUCUUUUAAGUCUGAUAUGAAAGCCUUCGGCUUAACCGGAGUAGUGCAUUGGAAACUGGGAGACUUGAGUGCAGAAGAGGAGAGUGGAACUCCAUGUGUAGCGGUGAAAUGCGUAGAUAUAUGGAAGAACACCAGUGGCGAAAGCGGCUCUCUGGUCUGUAACUGACGCUGAGGUUCGAAAGCGUGGGUAGCAAACAGG
RNAcentral lists this ribosomal RNA (253 nucleotides) under uncultured bacterium. RNAcentral describes it as "partial 16S ribosomal RNA". It matches the Rfam family "Bacterial small subunit ribosomal RNA", at positions 524 to 776 of the family's 1533-position model. The record is from RNAcentral.